RNAcentral lists this ribosomal RNA (472 nucleotides) under marine sediment bacterium ISA-7174. Its description in RNAcentral is "bacterial SSU rRNA". It matches the Rfam family "Bacterial small subunit ribosomal RNA", at positions 45 to 494 of the family's 1533-position model. The record is from RNAcentral.
UGCCUAAUACAUGCGAGUCUAGCGGGACAGAUGGGCAGCUUGCUCCCUGAUGUUAGCGGCGGUAGGGUGAGUAACACGUGGGUAACCUGCCUGUAAGACUGGGAUAACUCCGGGAAACCGGGGCUAAUACCGGGAUGGUUGUUUGAACCGCAUGGUUCAAACAUAAGAGGUGGCUUCGGCUACCACUUACAGAUGGACCCGCGGCGCACUAGCUAGUUGGUGAGGUAACGGCUCACCAAGGCAACGAUGCGUAGCCGACCUGCAGAGGGUGAUCGGCCACACUGGGACUGAGACACGGCCCAGACUCCUACGGGAGGCAGCAGUAGGGAAUCUUCCGCAUUGGAUGAAAGUCUGACGGAGCAACGCCGCGUGAGUGAUGAAAGUUUUCGGAUCGUAAAGCUCUGUUGUUAGGGAAGAACAAGUACCGUUCUGAAUAGGGCGGUACCUUGACGGUACCUAACCAGAAAGCCAC